UUCUACCUAGCUGCCUGUGUUCAGUGUUCCCACUGCUUGCUCACCAAUGCCAACCUCCUGUAGGCCCACCCCUCCACUGGGGCCCAGAAACGGAAGCAACCGAGUCAGCGCCUCGGCAAGCAGGGAAGAAAACCGCAGACCACUUCCUUCCGGAUGCCCGAAGCAGACUUUCCCUCCGGUCCCACAGGCUCCAGCCAACAGGAUGGUCCUCAAACCACCUGCAGCCGUGUCUCCUGCUAGGGCACCCUGCGGCAGGGCAAAAUCCUCACAGUCCCCCUGGAAAACCGAAGACAUCUUGAUGGAGACACAAUUCACCGAUCACCAAAGGAACCCAUUUAGAGCGCACGACUGAAUAGUUUCAGUGUAUUCGCGGAGUUGUGCAACCAGCACCACGAAGUUCAGAACAUUUUCAUUCCUCCAGAAAGAAACCCCGUGCUCGGGAGCGGUCAGUUCCCAUUUCCCCUCAACCGCUCCAGUUCUAGGCCACCACUAAUCUACUUUCUGUUUCUAGAGAUCUGUCCAUUCUGUUUACAUAAACCGAAUCUUCAUUUAUGGUUUGUUUUUUUAUUCAUUUGUAUCUAUAUUUAUUUAUUUCGGGGUGUGUGUGGGGGAGACAGCAUGAGCAGGGGAGGGGGACAGACAGGCAGAGAAAGAGAGAGACAGAAUCCUAAGCAGGCUCUACACUUAGUGUGGAGCCUGACGUGGGGCUCAAUCUCACGAACCUGGGAUCACGACCGGAGCCAAAAUCAAGAGUUGAACGCUAAACUGAGCCACCAAGGUGCCCCAAUAUAAAAGGAAUCUUAUAAAUGUGGUCUUUGUGUCUGCCUUCUCUCUGAACAUCAGGUUUCCUAGGUCCAUCCAUGUUGUGGCAGGCAUCAGUAUUUCUUUAUUACUAACUAGUAUUCCAAGGUAUGGAUGUAGCACAUUUGGUCUGUCCGUUCAUCAGCUGAUGGGCAUCUGGGUUGUUCUGCUUCGGGGCAAUUAUGAAUAAUGCUGCCACGAACAUUCACGUAACCAUUUCUGUGUGGACCUAUGUUUUCCGUUCCGUUGGGUACAUGUCUAUGAGUGCAACUGAUGGGCCAUUCGGUAACUAUGUCUAACUUUCUGAGGAAUUUCCAAACUCUUUCCCUAAGUGACUACACCAUUUUACAUUCCCACCACAUAUGGGGAUUCCAAUUUCUCCACAUCAUCCUUUCCAACGUUUUUAUUAUCUGUUUGAUUAUAGCCAUCCUCACGUGUGUGAAGUACCGUCUUGUGGUUUGGGUUUGCAAUUUCACCAGUGUCUAAGGACAAUGACACCGAGCAUCUUUUCACGUGCUCAGUGGACACCAGUAGAUCUUCUUUGGAGAAAUGUCUAUUCGAAUUCUUUGCCUAUUAAAAAAAUUUUUUU
This is a long non-coding RNA of Leopardus geoffroyi (Geoffroy's cat), 1390 nucleotides long. RefSeq lists it as uncharacterized. The transcript is spliced from 3 exons. The record is from RefSeq and is a predicted model, not a curated record. Lineage: Eukaryota; Metazoa; Chordata; Mammalia; Carnivora; Felidae.